RNAcentral lists this ribosomal RNA (382 nucleotides) under Xanthonycticebus pygmaeus (pygmy slow loris). Its description in RNAcentral is "Nycticebus pygmaeus (pygmy slow loris) partial 12S ribosomal RNA". It matches the Rfam family "Bacterial small subunit ribosomal RNA", at positions 800 to 1380 of the family's 1533-position model. Lineage: Eukaryota; Metazoa; Chordata; Mammalia; Primates; Lorisidae. The record is from RNAcentral.
CCGUAAACUCAAGUAGCAUCUCAACAAUACUACUCGCCAGAGUACUACAAGCAAUAGCUCGAAACUCAAAGGACUUGGCGGUGCUUUACACCCCUCUAGAGGAGCCUGUUCUAUAAUCGAUAAACCCCGAUAAACCUCACCACCUCUUGCUAAUUCAACCUAUAUACCGCCAUCCUCAGCAAACCCUGUUAAGGACCUAUAGUAAGCGAGAGAAUCACACAUUAAAACGUUAGGUCAAGGUGUAGUCUAUGAGGUGGGAAGAAAUGGGCUACAUUUUCUAUAUUUACAGAACAACCAACGCCUCCCCUUAUGAAAAAAGUGGUUAAGGCGGAUUUAGAAGUAAAUUGAGAAUAGAGAGCUUGAUUGAAUAGGGCAAUGAAGC